Molecule: microRNA precursor, 103 nt
Filed under: Marmota monax (woodchuck)
Lineage: Eukaryota; Metazoa; Chordata; Mammalia; Rodentia; Sciuridae
Source: RNAcentral
AGAGAGAUAGCUGGGUCAAAUGGUGGUUCCAUUCCCAGAUUUCCAAGGAAUCUCCAUACUGCUUUCCAAAUUGGCUGCACCAAUUUGCAGUCCCACCAGCAAU